AUGCUUCAUCUCAGCUGGCUCUCACAGCACUGGCAGUGUACUGAAGCAUGCAGAUCUUCACAGGAGAUGCUGGGACAAGUCAGGACCCCUGGGGGCUUCAUACAUUCAUCUUUAAUGUAUUUCAUAGUGGAUUUUCCCUAUAGGCAUGAGAAUCAGGAUCAUUCUGGCCUUUUUUUCUCCACAGGCAUCUUUAUUCUGCAUAAUAAAUGCCUAUAUAGUGGGCAAAGAUACUAUUUAAAUCUAAUGUAAAUUUUUAUGCUGACAGUUUCAAUUUUAAUGGAUUGGAAUGGAUAUAUAUAUAAAAAAGCAUUGCAUCCAAAUUGUAAAAAAAAAUGCAUGAAAUAGCAUACAAAGCAUAAUUGUUUAUUUUAUUACUUUCUUGUUAAAGUUCCAAGAUAGAUUAUAGUAUGACUGAGUUAGACAAUUAUUUUCAUUUAAAUAUAUGGCUGAAUGUUUUUGCAUACGCAUAGGGAGAUUUGUGUACGUAAACCCAUUUGUCUUCCAUUAAUCAUCUUGUAGUACACUUUUCACUCUUGAUGGUGGCUUAUGUAGUUAUUAUGAUGGGCAACAGCGACAUCUAGUGUUACAAUUCUAAAUUCUUAUUGAGUUGGAGCAUAAACAACACACCAACAACAUAAUUUACUUGAAGCAGUAGUUAAAUUUGUAUGGUUUCUAAAUUUUUUGAGUGCAUCAAACAAUAAAAAUAGCCACCAAUGUUUUAGUUUAAUGUUAAAUAUUUUUAAUGUUAUGUUUUAGUUAGUUCAAUGAUAAGCUACCACAAUCAUCCCGAUGUCCUUAACACUUCACCCUCCAGCAUUCUCUUCCCUUGACUCACCUUUAUACCAGUGCCAGAUCUGAGACGCCAGAGGGAUGCUGGGACUUUCCCUGUGAAAACACAGUUUCCGUCUGUUCUGUUUAAAUGCUAUAAUAACUGUAGGCUAAAUCAGGGUUAUAAAGAUGAAGAUGGAAAUAGAAAGUGGGGUGUGUUGCUGUAAAUCCAAGGAGCAGGUAUGCUUAUGGCUUGAGGAGCCUAUUAUUAAAGGAAUUUUUCGAAUUUAAUACGAACUGAGAUCAAUCAAAUAGCAUUCGUGGCAUAAUGACUACCUAAAAAAGUAAUUUCGACUCUUUUCUUAAAUAAAUAAUAAAAGAAAGAAAGACAAAUAAAGAAAGAAGGGAUAUGGAGAGGCAUUUACAAUUGGAGUGAAUGGAACCAGUUUCUUGAGGAUUUAAAAGCAGAAAUGUGCUGCUUACAAUACUAAAUUUCUACAAGUGUACAAAUCUCAUUAUUUGAGCUGCUGUUUAAAUCAAGUUAUAAAACUGGACAAUAAAAGAUAUUUUAUCACAAUUAAAAUUGUGUGAACAUACGCAUUGUUAUUAUGUAUUUUUGAAACAGUGAGUAUUUUAAUGUUUAACGAUUGGCC
Molecule: long non-coding RNA, 1421 nt
Organism: Cyprinus carpio carpio
Lineage: Eukaryota; Metazoa; Chordata; Actinopteri; Cypriniformes; Cyprinidae
Source: Ensembl